Long non-coding RNA from Hyla sarda, 976 nucleotides. RefSeq lists it as uncharacterized. NCBI's taxonomy places the organism in Eukaryota, Metazoa, Chordata, Amphibia, Anura, Hylidae. The transcript is spliced from 4 exons. The record is from RefSeq and is a predicted model, not a curated record.
UAGUAAUGCAUUAUCCCGGACAUGGCGUUCUCUGCCACGAGGAAAUGAUAUAUGCAGGAUAUUACUGCUGCUAUGCCUGAGGAAGCUGCGCUUGCAAAUUGAAAUGCGUGGCAUCCUGGUAAAUAAAGUGGUUACCCUCAAGCUACUGCAUCUGUUUUAUGUCUGGUCCCGGUCAGUGCCACAAAAUUCCUGUUACCCCUGAAGCCGCCUGGUUCUCGUAUCCUAAGAUUCAUCAGGAAGGCUGCAGACGGGUUGUCCACACUAUAUUUCACUACGUGCUGCCAAUUGUUGUGUAUGUCGGUACACAACCGGAGUCGUAGUGCUCCAGCAAAUCACAAGUCCCAUGGCUGCACAGGCACAAUAGGAUAAACAUGCUGGUCGAGAGGAAGCAGUAGCUGUGACGUCAGAAUGCUCCUGGAACACCGCCUGAGCACCGCGCCUGCCGAUUACCAUCAACCCAAUAAGAAGAAUAACAGGCAAACAGAGCGAUGGAUCGGUGACUGGUUGGAAUCAUCCUUUUGUUACAAGAACUACCGUAUAUGGAGAUAGUGAAGCCUAAGUAACCUAGCUCUUUACUUCCUGCAGAUAUAACACAUUAAAGAAAAGAAUCUCUUCACGAUGAGCUUUCUGGAUAGCCAUUAUAAUUAGUCACUAGAAGAAAAUAUUAAAAUGACAGCUAAUAUAUUUCCCUACAUUAAGAAUUAUGUGAAAAUUUUGAAGAAUUUUAUGCAUAUCACUGUUUUAUGCAUACUGAUUUUGUGUGUAUAUUUGUCGCAAAGUUGGCACUAUGCAGCGUUUUGGACUUUUUUUUGUGUCUUUUUUGUUUAAACUUUAAAAAAAAGUGUGUACAGAUCAGCUGUUAAGAUUUGCGACUAAUCUGCACAAGAUGUAUCAAAUGCCCUGCGGCACUUUGAUAAAUUUAGUGCACCUACACAUUACCAGCUAAAGUGUUCAGCUGCAGUGUCUAAACAGUGUC